This 1372-nucleotide ribosomal RNA is filed under the name uncultured bacterium. RNAcentral's name for it is "bacterial SSU rRNA". It matches the Rfam family "Bacterial small subunit ribosomal RNA", at positions 28 to 1381 of the family's 1533-position model. The record is from RNAcentral.
GAUGAACGCUGGCGGCGUGCCUAAUACAUGCAAGUCGAGCGAACGGACGAGAAGCUUGCUUCUCUGAUGUUAGCGGCGGACGGGUGAGUAACACGUGGAUAACCUACCUAUAAGACUGGGAUAACUUCGGGAAACCGGAGCUAAUACCGGAUAAUAUUUUGAACCGCAUGGUUCAAAAGUGAAAGACGGUCUUGCUGUCACUUAUAGAUGGAUCCGCGCUGCAUUAGCUAGUUGGUAAGGUAACGGCUUACCAAGGCAACGAUGCAUAGCCGACCUGAGAGGGUGAUCGGCCACACUGGAACUGAGACACGGUCCAGACUCCUACAGGAGGCAGCAGUAGGGAAUCUUCCGCAAUGGGCGAAAGCCUGACGGAGCAACGCCGCGUGAGUGAUGAAGGUCUUCGGAUCGUAAAACUCUGUUAUUAGGGAAGAACAUAUGUGUAAGUAACUGUGCACAUCUUGACGGUACCUAAUCAGAAAGCCACGGCUAACUACGUGCCAGCAGCCGCGGUAAUACGUAGGUGGCAAGCGUUAUCCGGAAUUAUUGGGCGUAAAGCGCGCGUAGGCGGUUUUUUAAGUCUGAUGUGAAAGCCCACGGCUCAACCGUGGAGGGUCAUUGGAAACUGGAAAACUUGAGUGCAGAAGAGGAAAGUGGAAUUCCAUGUGUAGCGGUGAAAUGCGCAGAGAUAUGGAGGAACACCAGUGGCGAAGGCGACUUUCUGGUCUGUAACUGACGCUGAUGUGCGAAAGCGUGGGGAUCAAACAGGAUUAGAUACCCUGGUAGUCCACGCCGUAAACGAUGAGUGCUAAGUGUUAGGGGGUUUCCGCCCCUUAGUGCUGCAGCUAACGCAUUAAGCACUCCGCCUGGGGAGUACGACCGCAAGGUUGAAACUCAAAGGAAUUGACGGGGACCCGCACAAGCGGUGGAGCAUGUGGUUUAAUUCGAAGCAACGCGAAGAACCUUACCAAAUCUUGACAUCCUUUGACAACUCUAGAGAUAGAGCUUUCCCCUUCGGGGGACAAAGUGACAGGUGGUGCAUGGUUGUCGUCAGCUCGUGUCGUGAGAUGUUGGGUUAAGUCCCGCAACGAGCGCAACCCUUAAGCUUAGUUGCCAUCAUUAAGUUGGGCACUCUAAGUUGACUGCCGGUGACAAACCGGAGGAAGGUGGGGAUGACGUCAAAUCAUCAUGCCCCUUAUGAUUUGGGCUACACACGUGCUACAAUGGACAAUACAAAGGGCAGCGAAACCGCGAGGUCAAGCAAAUCCCAUAAAGUUGUUCUCAGUUCGGAUUGUAGUCUGCAACUCGACUACAUGAAGCUGGAAUCGCUAGUAAUCGUAGAUCAGCAUGCUACGGUGAAUACGUUCCCGGGUCU